UGGCCGUCCAAUCGUAACCGGCUCGCACCAGAGCCGUCCGAUCACACACUACAGCCUCUGAUCAUGCCUGAUCAUGUCCGAAUUGAGUUUCAGCCGUUCGAUCACGAUGGCAUGAUAAAUCUAAACCAUCGAAUUGCGUAAAAAUAUCCGUAGACCACGUGAUCGAUCCAUGCGGCCUCCAUGGACCACCCAGCACCCUGUGGUCGAUGAUGGACCGUGCAGGGCGCUAGGCUUGGGCACCCACAUGCGCUGGGCUGGCACAUGUGCGCGCUUGCACUGGGCCCGCCUGCGCGCUGGACCAUGUGCACCUACGCGCAUGCAUCUUCGCCAAGCCCGACCGUGCCACCAUCGGCCUCCACCGCCUCGUGCAUCGUGCUAUCUGGUUCGAGUUUCUUUCAUCCGUAUUUUUACUGUCUGGAUUUCGCUUAGACUGUUCUUGAGCUCGUUGGACUCCGU
Molecule: long non-coding RNA, 456 nt
Filed under: Elaeis guineensis (African oil palm)
Lineage: Eukaryota; Viridiplantae; Streptophyta; Magnoliopsida; Arecales; Arecaceae
Description: long non-coding RNA (EGUI_LNC026559)
Source: RNAcentral